RNAcentral lists this transfer RNA (72 nucleotides) under Methanomassiliicoccales archaeon. RNAcentral's name for it is "tRNA-Gly". It matches the Rfam family "tRNA". Rfam says of the family: Transfer RNA (tRNA) molecules are approximately 80 nucleotides in length. Their secondary structure includes four short double-helical elements and three loops (D, anti-codon, and T loops). Further hydrogen bonds mediate the characteristic L-shaped molecular structure. tRNAs have two regions of fundamental functional importance: the anti-codon, which is responsible for specific mRNA codon recognition, and the 3' end, to which the tRNAs corresponding amino acid is attached (by aminoacyl-tRNA synthetases). tRNAs cope with the degeneracy of the genetic code in two manners: having more than one tRNA (with a specific anti-codon) for a particular amino acid; and 'wobble' base-pairing, i.e. permitting non-standard base-pairing at the 3rd anti-codon position. Lineage: Archaea; Methanobacteriati; Thermoplasmatota; Thermoplasmata; Methanomassiliicoccales. The record is from RNAcentral.
GCGGACAUAGUCUAGUGGUCAGGACUGGAGCUUCCCAAGCUUCGAACCCGGGUUCGAAUCCCGGUGUCCGCA